RNAcentral lists this unclassified non-coding RNA (381 nucleotides) under Hevea brasiliensis (rubber tree). Lineage: Eukaryota; Viridiplantae; Streptophyta; Magnoliopsida; Malpighiales; Euphorbiaceae. The record is from RNAcentral.
AACAUUAAGCUGUCUAAAACAACAAAUAUAAUAUUUGUGCAUUUAACCUACCUGUUUCUUCUGCUUCAGUUUUUGAAGUGCUGCCAUUGCAUCAGGUUCAGAUGACUUGUCAACUUUCAUCAUCUUUUCAAAAUCAUUUUUUGCUUCCUCAAAAUCUCCAUCUGUCAUGUAGGCCAUUCCACGUCGGUACAGAGCCUUUACAUGUGCAGGAUUUGCAUCCAAAACCUUAUUGCAAUACUCAAUGGACUUUUUGCAUUCUCCCAUUUUUAGGUAGGAUGCAGCCAAGUUCAAAUUUAACAAGUUUCUAGUAUCUACAAAAACCUUCCCUUCUUCAUCAUCUUGUGGAUUUACGUGAUUAAAUUCCCUAAGUACCUUCUCAUA